RNAcentral lists this ribosomal RNA (497 nucleotides) under uncultured bacterium. RNAcentral's name for it is "partial 16S ribosomal RNA". It matches the Rfam family "Bacterial small subunit ribosomal RNA", at positions 28 to 507 of the family's 1533-position model. The record is from RNAcentral.
GAUGAACGCUGGCGGCGUGCCUAAUACAUGCAAGUCGAGCGAACAGACGAGGAGCUUGCUCCUCUGACGUUAGCGGCGGACGGGUGAGUAACACGUGGAUAACCUACCUAUAAGACUGGGAUAACUUCGGGAAACCGGAGCUAAUACCGGAUAAUAUAUUGAACCGCAUGGUUCAAUAGUGAAAGACGGUUUUGCUGUCACUUAUAGAUGGAUCCGCGCCGCAUUAGCUAGUUGGUAAGGUAACGGCUUACCAAGGCAACGAUGCGUAGCCGACCUGAGAGGGUGAUCCGGCACACCUGAACUGAGACACGGUCCAGACUCCUAAGGGAGGCAGCAGUAGGGAAUCUUCCGCAAUGGGCGAAAGCCUGAAGGAGCCAACCCGGGUGGGUGAAGAAGGUUUUCGGGUUGUAAAACCCUUUUAUUAGGGAAGAACAAAUGUGUAAGUAACUAUGCACGUCUUGACGGUACCUAAUCAGAAAGCCACGGCUAACUACGUG